UAUGCUAAUAAUGUGCAAUUUUUUCCAUCAGAUAUAAAAAGCGCCAAUAUAGCCGAAAUGUUCAGUCAUAUUGUGAACAGUGCUGUUCUAACACUUAGCGCUGCAUGUGAAACAGUUUGUGGGAAUGAAGCGCUCAGCCAUGCUAAGCUUUGGGAUAUACUUUUCCUUAAACUUCCUCACAAAAUACCGUCUAGAUCUGGUUCCUGGUCAUAGGAGAGAGCUGUCCUGGUUCACUUACAGAGAUUAAGCCCUAUCCACACAUCCGUUGAGGAUGCACCCUCGAGUGCUACAAGCAAAAUGUCAAGCGAAGAGGAUUCAUGACUGCUCAUGGGCACCUGUGUCCUCGAUAAAAUAAAAAUGUGGUAAGCAUUCAGAGAAGGUUGCACGCAAUCCGGCACUUCAUCAGGCUGCCCCUGCUCGGCAAGUGACGGGUCGGCGUGAUGUGCGGGGAUGGCCUUCCACCCAGACGGUGGGACUCCACAGCAUUAGGAUCAAGUUCUCUGGUUCCUCCUGAGCAGCCUGGCUCAGGUCCAAACUGCCUGCUCAUCCAAGCUGCGGGAUACACAGGCGCCAUGAAGUAACAGUAGCAGGUGAGAACCAUGCCAGCACGGUUAACUAACCCCAUACUGACAUCCAGAAUAAAAACACUGCCUCAGUCAUCAUUCCUGCAUGACACAAUCACCACACGCACACACAUACAUACAUGGUUGGUUUCUGAUAUAAAGUGCCUUAACAAUCACUAAUCCACCCUGUAUUUCCAUUUAUUUAGCCUAUUUAUUUAGGGGAAUGCAUCUUCUUUCCCACUGCCUGCCAGUGGAGCAUUGUGAGAAUUGUACAGCCAUAAUAAACUGUGCUUGGAGUAGUAACCUAUUUGCUGUCACAUCCAGAGAGAUGUUGAAUAAAGGACCAACAACAGAACAACUUCAUGAUGGGGAAAAAAAAUAACACUUUGCCCAAAAAACCCCACUGGGCCUGAAAGACAAGGAGCAGAAGAAUGAAGUGUGAAAUCCCUGUAAUUCCACCCGUGACUCUGAUGGUCCCUGACAUGACAUGAUGGACAGGGCGUUUCUUCCUGAUGAGAGAGGUGCAGAAAAGUGACCGCAGCCAAUUCUGCUGCCACGGCUGCCAUACAAGCCUGACAUCCUGCCUUGUGAUUUCAAUUCACUGGGUCUGAAUGAGUGAGUGACGGAAGAGGUAGAGUGCCCUGCAAACGCAUUAUGUGAUGUUACAGGUUUAUACGGAGAGAAGGGACUGGGUGAGUCUUUCUAAGCACAGUUAUUUUCUGUCACAGAUGUUGUUAAAACUUUGUUUAACACUCCCCGAAAGAAAGUCAUAUCUCCAACCAUAACAAAGUAAUCAAACAAGAUAGCCUGAUCACAAUUUAAUGUCACAGCUUCCCAGCCAAUACUUCACAGCCCCAGUAAUCACUACUGAUCCUAGUCGUCUCUCCUUUGGCUGUGCAUUUGAAAUUACGGAAAAAGCAAUGCCCCCAAGUCUUGGUUUGUAUGCAAAAAAUACUCAUCUGUUGUUUAUAUAUCCAGUUACUGCAAAAAGCUUAUGUUUUAGUGAAGGAAUCUUGACUUUUAACCUGGAUACACUUUGAGCUGUGCUCAUUUGGACUACAUCAAAAUGUAAUCCCAUUUUUGUCUAAAUGAAAUAAAUAUGCCUUUAUGAAAUAAUCAUAUGAUGAAUGCAGCAAUAUAUGUAAAUGAGUCAAUAAAUUGUUAAAUAAUUCAUUAACUAACAUUCGUCUUAUUAAAUAUUUAUUCCGACUCUUAUUCUCUACAUUGUUAAAUUGAAUUCCAUUGUUAUUUCAUAAUAAGUUUUAUUUUGGUGAUUGGCUACUACUUGGCGAUUGUUUACUUCGCCUGGAUCUGGCAACACUUUUCUAGUGCGAGACUACGCUAGAAUUAUGCUAGAAUUCAGGCAGCACACUGAACCAACAAUAACACAGAAGACUUCAGCAAGCAAUUCAGCAACUGCAGCAGAUGUUUGAAACUUUUUUUUAAAUUUCCCUAACAGUGCUUAGUGGUAUGUUUAGGCUAACAAUUUAUGAAUUUUUUUCACCCAGUUUUUUUCGGUCAACAGUUGUGAUUUUAUUGUGAUUUUACAGUUCUUUGGCUUUCCCCAUGGUGAUGGAUAACAAAGGGAUUUUAUAUGUAUGUUGCCUCAUUUUUAUAUCCAAUGGAAACAGGAAGUUAUGGAAGGCUACAGUACAGUUUAUUAAGACUGAGGUAAACUUAAAUCCCAGAUGACCAGAUAUUAAAAACAUAACAUGCAAUGUUAUUGUCUAUCGCCAAGCAUCAGUAGCCUAAACAGCAUCCAGUACUGUCAGGCUUAGAUUUGAGAACACUCCACUGGUCUUACAUACACCUAGGCUAAAGACAUUCAAACUCAAUUUUUCACAACUCCACACAUUUCAUGUUACCAUACAUUUCCAGUGUUAAGUCAAGUAGGGUAUCUACUAUAUUUCCAUAAGAGGUCAUUUCAAAAUAAUAACUAAGAGACAGAUUUAUUUCAGCUUUUAGGUUCUAUAUCAGAUUUUCAGUGGGUCAAAAGUUUCCAUACACUAAGCUGACCUUCUCUUUUAACAGUCAGGACGAUUCCAGAAAUUGAUGUAAUUACUUUUUAGAAGCUUCUGAUUGGCCAACUCUCAUAAUUAGAAGCUAAUUGGCAGUAUUUGGUGUCAUUGCCUUUUAAUUGCUUAACUUGAAUCAAACGCUUGGGGUAGCCCUCCACAAGCUUCU
Molecule: long non-coding RNA, 2747 nt
Organism: Anguilla anguilla (European eel)
Lineage: Eukaryota; Metazoa; Chordata; Actinopteri; Anguilliformes; Anguillidae
Exons: 4
Source: RefSeq, a predicted model, not a curated record